Molecule: ribosomal RNA, 75 nt
Filed under: Escherichia coli
Lineage: Bacteria; Pseudomonadati; Pseudomonadota; Gammaproteobacteria; Enterobacterales; Enterobacteriaceae
Also listed under: 4 other names
Source: RNAcentral
CCUGGCGGCAGUAGCGCGGUGGUCCCACCUGACCCCAUGCCGAACUCAGAAGUGAAACGCCGUAGCGCCGAUGGU